RNAcentral lists this ribosomal RNA (491 nucleotides) under uncultured bacterium. RNAcentral's name for it is "partial 16S ribosomal RNA". It matches the Rfam family "Bacterial small subunit ribosomal RNA", at positions 27 to 507 of the family's 1533-position model. The record is from RNAcentral.
GAUUGAACGCUGGCGGCAGGCCUAACACAUGCAAGUCGAACGGUAACAGGAAGCAGCUUGCUGCUUCGCUGACGAGUGGCGGACGGGUGAGUAAUGUCUGGGAAACUGCCUGAUGGAGGGGGAUAACUACUGGAAACGGUAGCUAAUACCGCAUAACGUCGCAAGACCAAAGAGGGGGACCUUAGGGCCUCUUGCCAUCGGAUGUGCCCAGAUGGGAUUAGCUAGUAGGUGGGGUAACGGCUCACCUAGGCGACGAUCCCUAGCUGGUCUGAGAGGAUGACCAGCCACACUGGAACUGAGACACGGUCCAGACUCCUACGGGAGGCAGCAGUGGGGAAUAUUGCACAAUGGGCGCAAGCCUGAUGCAGCCAUGCCGCGUGUAUGAAGAAGACCUUCGGGUUGUAAAGUACUUUCAGCGGGGAGGAAGGGAGUAAAGUUAAUACCUUGGCUCAUUGACGUUACCCGCAGAAGAAGCACCGGCUAACUCCGUG